UGGAAAGUCUAUAGUCGAGACCCCGAUUAUAGGAAUACCCGUUACAUACUUUUAGGAGGUUAAAUUUUUUAAAAAUUUAAAUUUAAA
Molecule: long non-coding RNA, 87 nt
Organism: Drosophila innubila
Lineage: Eukaryota; Metazoa; Arthropoda; Insecta; Diptera; Drosophilidae
Exons: 3
Source: RefSeq, a predicted model, not a curated record